AACGAACGCUGGCGGCAUGUCUAACACAUGCAAGUCGAACGAGACCUUCGGGUCUAGUGGCGCACGGGUGCGUAACGCGUGUGAACCUGCCCUUAGGUUCGGAAUAACUCCCCGAAAGGGGUGCUAAUACCGGAUAAUGUCUUCGGACCAAAGAUUUAUCGCCUUUGGAUGGGCCCGCGUUGGAUUAGCUAGUUGGUAGGGUAAAAGCCUACCAAGGCGACGAUCCAUAGCUGGUCUGAGAGGAUGAGCAGCCACACUGAGACUGGGACACGGCCCAGAUUCUUACGGGAGGCAGCAGUGGAGAAUGUUGGACAGUGGGCGGAGGGCUGAUCCAGCAAUGCCGGGUGAUCGAUGAAAGCCGUGGGGUUGUAAAGCUCUUUUAACCGGGAUGAUAGUGACAGUACCGUGAGAAUAAGCUCCGGCUAACUACGUG
This 433-nucleotide ribosomal RNA is filed under the name uncultured bacterium. RNAcentral describes it as "partial 16S ribosomal RNA". It matches the Rfam family "Bacterial small subunit ribosomal RNA", at positions 29 to 507 of the family's 1533-position model. The record is from RNAcentral.